GUAUAACCAUUUCUCAGCCAAAACACGCAGUUGAAGUAACACUAAUUGGCCAUUGAUCCACUUACAAAAAUGCCUCGUCACAAUCCUUUAAAAAGUAAAUUACGACUGUAGAUUUAUUCAACUCGUCUCUCCGAAAUCCAAGAAAUCUUAAAUAGGUUAAGAUAGGUGAAAAUUAAAACCACUACCUAUUUAUAACAGGCGAUUAUUUUUUGUCAAUGCAAUUGUAAUGAAACAUCUUUCGAGUUCAGUUGUGGUGAUAAAUCUGGGAACAAGCGAAAAUUCAGAAAUUUCAAUAAAAAGUUCACACAGUCAGUCAGUCAGUCACCUACCAAAAAAAAAGAUAAAAAUACGUAGUCAAAAUGAUGUCCAGACAACUGAUACUAAUCUUCUUGCUGGCUACAUCAUUAGCCAGUGUUUCUGCCAGACUAUGUUACGUUGGAAACCAUUCUCACCACACUUGUCAAGAUCACUGCCCUCGACUAUGCCAAAAACAACAAUAUGCACGUUACAGCUGCGAACCAGAAGAACGAGGGCACGGGCAGGGGCAGAUGUCGUGGAGGUGGUGCUGCAAUUGUUUCAAUUAAUAAGUUAUGGUACACAUACUUUGAUACAAUUAGGUACCUAUGUUUAGGCAUGUAAUAUACCUUUUUCAAUAAUUAAAAACAUUUAGCAGUUGAUUUAAUUACAAAACCUCGACGCUAAAAAAAAAUCACUCUCCCAAGAAUGUACCCUACCUUUACAAAUUCAUUGUGACAAUGUUCGGUCGAAUUAAUCGUAAAAUUAUUACACCAUCGCGCCUCCAUAACUUCUACGUGUACAUUAUAAGACCUGACGUGUUUGAAAUUUAAUGUCAAUUCUCAAUUCCGUCAAAUUCGAAACGAUGAAAGUAACAUUGGACCCCACCAUUAUUAAUACCUGCGAGGCGUGGCAUCAAUCAAACGAUAAUUUAAUCCAGAACACGUUGAUUUCUAUCACCCUCGUUCUCGUUUAAGAUUCGCAAUUAAUUAGGUGCAUACGUAAAUGUAAAAUUUGCGAUAUUCGAUAACUUGUAAAAUUCCAUCUUGAUAUUAGAUUUCCAACACCACAACAGAUGGAAGCACCUAAUGCAUUGUACGUCCUGUAUCCGACCUCAAGCAAGGCAAAGAAACAACGAGGGGGAAAACUACGACUGCGUUGUUUGUAGAAUAAAUAAUACCUACACACCUACCUAAAACCCAUUCAUAACAAUCGUUUAAAUUUGUUCACGUUUUAAAUUCGACAAUUAGAAUGUUUGUUGUUGU
Molecule: long non-coding RNA, 1280 nt
Organism: Planococcus citri (citrus mealybug)
Lineage: Eukaryota; Metazoa; Arthropoda; Insecta; Hemiptera; Pseudococcidae
Exons: 3
Source: RefSeq, a predicted model, not a curated record